This 406-nucleotide ribosomal RNA is filed under the name uncultured bacterium. Its description in RNAcentral is "partial 16S ribosomal RNA". It matches the Rfam family "Bacterial small subunit ribosomal RNA", at positions 28 to 526 of the family's 1533-position model. The record is from RNAcentral.
GAUGAACGCUAGCUACAGGCUUAACACAUGCAAGUCGAGGGACCGGCGCACGUGUGAGUAACACGUAUCCAACCUGCCUUUUACUCGGGGAUAGCCGUUCGAGAGAACGAUUCAUACCUGAUGUAAAGGAUGGGGAUGCGUUCCAUUAGGUUGUUGGUGAGGUAACGGCUAACCAAGCCUUCGCUGGAUAGGGGUGCGGAGAGGAAGGUCCCCCACAUUGGAACUGCGACACGGGCCAAACUCCUACGGGAGGCAGCAGAGAGGAAGAUAGGUGAAUGGGCGUGAGCCUGAACCAGACAAGUAGCGUGAAGGAGGAAGGCGUAUGGGGCUUAAACUUCUUUGAGAUAAGAAUAUGUAUGAUAGGAAUAAGGAUCGGCUAACUCCGUGCCAGCAGCCGCGGUAAUUC